AGUGAACGCUGGCGGUAGGCCUAACACAUGCAAGUCGAACGGCAGCACAGUAAGAGCUUGCUCUUACGGGUGGCGAGUGGCGGACGGGUGAGGAAUACAUCGGAAUCUACUUUUUCGUGGGGGAUAACGUAGGGAAACUUACGCUAAUACCGCAUACGACCUACGGGUGAAAGCAGGGGAUCUUCGGACCUUGCGCGAUUGAAUGAGCCGAUGUCGGAUUAGCUAGUUGGCGGGGUAAAGGCCCACCAAGGCGACGAUCCGUAGCUGGUCUGAGAGGAUGAUCAGCCACACUGGAACUGAGACACGGUCCAGACUCCUACGGGAGGCAGCAGUGGGGAAUAUUGGACAAUGGGCGCAAGCCUGAUCUAGCCAUACCGCGUGGGUGAAGAAGGCCUUCGGGUUGUAAGGCCCUUUUGUUGGGAAAGAAAAGCAGCAGGUUAAUACCCCGCUGUUCUGACGGUACCCAAAGAAUAAGCACCGGCUAACUUCGUG
RNAcentral lists this ribosomal RNA (492 nucleotides) under uncultured bacterium. Its description in RNAcentral is "partial 16S ribosomal RNA". It matches the Rfam family "Bacterial small subunit ribosomal RNA", at positions 29 to 507 of the family's 1533-position model. The record is from RNAcentral.